Molecule: ribosomal RNA, 231 nt
Filed under: uncultured bacterium
Lineage: Bacteria
Description: partial 16S ribosomal RNA
Rfam family: Bacterial small subunit ribosomal RNA
Source: RNAcentral
UGGGCAACCUGCCCUCAGCUCUGGGAUAUCCCCGGGAAACCGGGGCUAAUACCGGAUACGACCUCCGCGGGCAUCUGCGGAGGUGGAAAGGUUUUCCGGCUGAGGAUGGGCCCGCGGCCUAUCAGCUAGUUGGUGGGGUGAUGGCCCACCAAGGCGACGACGGGUAGCCGGCCUGAGAGGGCGACCGGCCACACUGGGACUGAGACACGGUCCAGACUCCUACGGGAGGCA